Molecule: ribosomal RNA, 104 nt
Filed under: Prumnopitys andina
Lineage: Eukaryota; Viridiplantae; Streptophyta; Pinopsida; Araucariales; Podocarpaceae
Description: 4.5S ribosomal RNA
Source: RNAcentral
UAAGGUCACGGCGAGACGAGCCGUUUGCCACCUACGAUAGGUGCCAAGUGGAAGUGCAGUGAUGUAUGUAGCUGAGGCAUCCUAACAGACCGAAAGAUUUGAAC